UGACUCCGGAGACAACGGAAGGAUGGU
RNAcentral lists this non-coding RNA (27 nucleotides) under Homo sapiens (human). Lineage: Eukaryota; Metazoa; Chordata; Mammalia; Primates; Hominidae. The record is from RNAcentral.